UUAAGAUUUUUAAGAAGACGGCCCAAGAAGAAUCUGGUAAGAAACUGGAGAAAAGAAAAGCAGGAUAAACAAGCAGGAAGAAGCCAGUUCAGUCCAGUGAAGUGCUAGCUGCAUUCAUAAAACAGGGAUCAAGACCAUAAAAAUCACUGCAGAGUUUGUUCUCCAUUAAGGGCAGGGAGCUGGAUUUUCAUAAUCCUCUGCUCGUCAAUUGCUGGUGGAGAGAGGGCCUAACUCCAGGCACAGUUAUCUCUUGGAACGUCUAAACAUCUGGACAUUUGGUACACAGAACCAUUAAGGGGAUCACAGAAUAGAUACUUAAAGUUGCUCUGUUAACUUGCCAUGCUUGGAGUAGUGAAUUAUCAUACCAGGACUCUUAGCUAGUUGGGUGAAUACUAACUACAGGACACUGACUGGCUGAGAAGAUGGAGUGAAACAUCUCAGAUCAUUCAGAGACUGCCAGCAAUGAAUUUAUAAAAUAGCCUUUGAAGACAAAAUCAUCUGGUCAGGCUGCCUGCAGAUUCAGACCCUUGGCUCUGCUGCCUUAUUGCCAGUUACAUUACAGUAUAUGACAAGGGUUUAUUAAUGCUGUACUGUAGUCAACAUCCAUGCAAGCAUAUACAAUGGCCCCCAUGCAGAAAAAAGUUGCAAAGAAAGGUGGUAAGAAGAUGAUUAUGGUGGAAGUUAAGAAGGAAAUCAUGAAGAAGUAUGAACGAGGUAUGUGAGUGGCCAAAUUUGCAAGAUUUUAUAAGACGUCUUUGCAUCUCAUCUGCAGAGGAGGAAGAGAAAAAGCUGAAGUCUUCUUUGUCAAGUAAUCAAUGUGUUUACUGAAUGAUAAAAGCGAUGUCAAGAAGCUGGUGAGACUCAAAGUUAUUUGGAAGAUAUAAUGCGGGCCAGGGAAAAUUCACCAACGUGAACUGUACCAUCAUUAGUCAGAACUGAUGAUAUGCAAGAGAAAAACAGAACAUCUGUUUGCAUUUUUCCAAAGUAGAAGAGUGAGAAAUUGGUUUGUUCCCUUAAUGUCACUAAGCCAGCCGAGACCAACUUGAAUACAGUGGCGUUUUCUACAUCAGGGUUUUGGAAAGUAAAAGUAUAUUUAUGGAAACUGCAAGCUUUUAAACAUCAUGCCUACAGCUUUUUCAUGCCAACAGCCUACAAUCAGGGCUCAGCUGAAGCCUUUCCUUGUGUCCAGUCUACUCCUCUGCCUGCUUUUGAUUCUCUGCCAAAACGCAUGUAAUGGUGGCUGACAACCUUGCUGUGACAAGCUCUGAAUAAAUAGCCUUUGCUUCUCUCA
Panthera uncia (snow leopard) is the source of this 1291-nucleotide long non-coding RNA. RefSeq lists it as uncharacterized. The transcript is spliced from 6 exons. The record is from RefSeq and is a predicted model, not a curated record. NCBI's taxonomy places the organism in Eukaryota, Metazoa, Chordata, Mammalia, Carnivora, Felidae.